Molecule: ribosomal RNA, 809 nt
Filed under: Ascomycota sp. RT-2012
Lineage: Eukaryota; Fungi; Ascomycota
Description: eukaryotic LSU rRNA
Rfam family: Eukaryotic large subunit ribosomal RNA (bases 533-809)
Source: RNAcentral
UGAUUGAAUGGCUUAGUGAGGCCUCUGGAUUGGCUCUGCCUGGCUGGCAACGGCUGGGCGCUGUCGAGAAGCUGGUCAAACUUGGUCAUUUAGAGGAAGUAAAAGUCGUAACAAGGUCUCCGUAGGUGAACCUGCGGAGGGAUCAUUAAUGAAUGGCUUUUGGCCUUCAACUUCAAACCUGUGGAAGCAAGUUGUGCUUUGGCGCCAAGUCGCCUCAUUUAUGCAACAAAGUAUUUGUCUGAAUCAAAAAUGAGAAUUAAAACUUUCAACAAAGGAUCUCUUGGCUCUUGCAUCGAUGAAGAACGCAGCGAAGCGCGAAAUGUAGUGUGAAUCGCAGAACAUUGUGAAUCAUCGAAUCUUUGAACGCACAUUGCGCCUCCCUUUACCGGGAGGCAUGCCUGUCUGAGCGUCAUUUAACCCAUACCUUCUUGGUGUGUUGGGCCUCGCCCCAGUGGCGUAGCCUCAAAGUCAUUGGUCUAAGAGCGGACAAGAUCCAUUGGGACCGACCGUUUGGGACCGUAAACAUCUGACUUGACCUCAGAUCAGGUAGGGCUACCGCCUGAACUUAAGCAUAUCAAUAAGGCGAGGAACAGAAACCAACAGGGAUUCCCCCAGUAGUGGCGAAUGAAGCGGGAAAAGCUCAAGUUUGAAAUCUGAAGUCCACUUCAGAGUUGUAAGCUGAAGAGGUGUCGACCGACUUGGUCCGGGCCCAACUUCCUUGGAACAGGAGGUCAUGGAGGGUGAGAACCCCGUCUGUGGCUCGGGUGCCGUAGUCCUUGUGUCGUGCCCUCGAAGAGUCGAGUUGUUUG